GGAACAAACUGAUCUUAACUCCAGGAACCAUAGAUGGGAGCACAGACGUUGAUUUCCUAUGGUUACUGCACGACUAUAAACUUAAAACAGUCGUUGUACUUAAUGAAAAGAUGGAAUCCUAUAUUCCCGAUCAAGGCAAAAAUACUGUAACCGGACCAUUCAGUGGGAAAUUGGUUUCAAAAAUCACACAAAGUCAUUACGAAGAGCUAGUUGUAAAAUACCAAUAUUACGCAGAGCACGAAAGUUUUGAUGUUCGAUUUCUCCUCUUCUCGUCAUGGCAAAAGAAGACAAAAGUGUGCAAGAUAUCAUAUAUAAUGCAUUUGUUGAUUGGUGCCCAAGACAUAGCGACUGAUUGUCCAAUGGUUGCCCAGUGUCGUGACGGAUACACCCGCAGUGGUCUGUUCGCGGUUUUGUGGUGUAUUGUGGAGAGGAUGAAACGGGACGGGGAAGUGGCCGUGGCUGAAAGCGUUAGGAUGACCAAGCGUCGAUGUCAACGAAUUAUUCCUAAUCAGGUACAUGUCUGUUUCUUGGCUUAAAUUAAACAAGUGUAUAUUGAGGAAAAUGAACACUGCUUUCUGGCGUUAACGGAAUACUUUGAGGAUUCGUGUUCAUGCAUAAUAUUGUACACACUCUGUUAUGUGUUCCAAUUCCAGGAGAAAUAUCGGUUUUGCAACGAGUUCGCAAAGCAAUAUGCGGAUGGCUGCAAUACAUACGAAAAUACAGACGAUGGAAUUAGGGGGGAAAAAAAAUAACAACCUGCUUCUUUGCAUAAAACCUUCGAUGACGUACACGGACGGAUGAUGUAAUCCCUAUAGAUGAUCAAAAUACUAAUAAUUGAUAUAUACAAACUAUUAACAUUGAUUGACAUCAAAAAAUGUUGGUAUUAAAUGGGAAUUAUUUUGAAACUGAUGGUUUAUAAAAAUAAUGAAAAUUAUGAAAAAGAGGAUACAAGAAAAAAAAACAGAGUAGACCAAAAAUCGACAAUAGUUUGAUAGUUUGAUACCUUAAUAUGAAUUAUCAACAAAACAUAAGAUCCUUAUCUUUUGAGAUAUUUUAUGUGUAUUAGCAUAGUAUAUAUGGUAUGAGGACAUUAGAUGAUAAAUGCAACGAUACAAAAACGUUUCAUAUUGUAUUUCAUGUGCGCAAAAAUAUAACUUAACAUUCAUAAAAUUUCUCAGUUUCAUUCGUUUUUAUGAAAGUGAAAUGAUUUUUUGAACGAAUCUGUUUUACACUUGUGUUAUUCAUACUUUGUGUUUUUAUAUUCAAGUGUUCCUUUUAAGAUCUAUGUUAAGAAAAUAUGUUGAUUAUCUUAUAAUCUUAUAUCAAGAUCUAUUGCCAAAUGUUUUUUUAUACGUUACCCUUGUUUAUAAACAGUUUUGUUCGAAUAGUCUAUGCAAUGCUAUUUAUUAACAAUCAUUGAUUUGAUAUAUUUUUAUACACAGUCUCUUAUUGAAUCAUUCCUUUUAUAAAGUAAACUUGUAUAAAAAUCGUUCAAAUAUGCAUUUAUACUUUAACAUUUUUAAUAAGUAAAGCAUCGUUGACCAAUACUUGAUAUGUCAUCUUUUUAUUAAUCAAUUUUUAUAGGUUUUAUAUCUCCUAUCAAUUGCAAUACUAAUAUUGAGACAUAGGCAUGACGAAGUAUAUUUAAUCUGAUUUGGAGCAUUCAUUUGCUCUAAUCAGCAGACACAUUUGUUUAAAGCUUCCUGUUUGAAACUUAACUAAUUUUAGAGUUGAAAACUGUAUUGAUCGUUGCGUUAUGACACAAAUUUGGGACAUGGUCUUUGCAAGCGGUUGUAAAAUAGACACUUCCGCGUGUAAAUUACCAUCUCCUAUAUUAUGUUACUGAAGUUAAAUGUGAUAAUGGCAGCUUAUGAAUAAUAUUAACCUUCAAAUCAGGAAGAGAAUAGUUCGUUGUUACAUAUAUGGCUGAUCUAAUGAUCAACUUGGCAAUCUACGUAUUUUGUACUGUGAUAGCAUAAUUGUUAAUAUUAUACAUUAGCCAUUUUUUUAAAUAACCGUUCGCUUUUUUUGCCAUCCAGACUUAUAGGUAUUUUCAUUUUGAAGGAUGCUGUCCAUCUUAUUUAUGCGUAUGCGAUACAUUCAUAAUUUAUACUUGAUUCAAUACUUAAUUAACAUAAACUGUAAUGCAUACACACAUGAAUUUUCAUUAAACGUGCAAAUAUUGUGUUUGUAUAAAAGACAAACUCGGCAUGCAUUUUUAAAACCCAAAAGAAGGCAUGUCGUAGUCGCUUCGUCCGUCAGAGGGUGGGUAGCUCUGUUGGGGUUGAUAUGGGUGCUCAAUAGUCCGGAAUCGUUUGCGCUGUCUCCAAUAAUGUUACUGUUCUACAAGUUAGGUGGAUCUGGAUAUAUUUGAGGCUGUAUUUCCCAUUCUGUGUCCAUUACAAGUAACUCAACAAUUAAAUGUCAACGGUCUCCGAUGUCUGGUUUUCACGUUUAUGGAUGGAUUUUUUGAUACAACUAUAAUAAAUUGUCAUUUCACAUCGACCAAUCAAUUAUCGAGUACAACUAUUAUAUUUACUUCAAUGUCAGUUCUAAAAGGUAUUUUGAUUUUACUGCUGUUAAGUAGUAAACGAAUUGCGAUAAAACUGCAAUUUAAAAAAACGGGCAGCUAAAGGGUUAGGUAAAAACUUAGAUCGAGAACGUUGAUGAAAGCUAGUUUCUUGUUAAGAUCUUAUAAAGGAUUUGUUAUUUCAGAGUAUAAUGUCCAAUAAGAAAGCAAAGAAUUGUGUAUAAUACCCAAGGCCGUCGGUCAGAUGUCAAGGCCAUAGUUAAAUGUCAAGUGACUUUUAUUCAAGAUUUCUAAUAUUAUUUUAGGGGACUGAUCAUUAUUAUGAGGGAAUGUACCACAUAUAAGAAAUGUGUCUACUGCUGAAAUGUGAUUAUGUGUAUUAAUGGCAUAUAUUUGACUUGUGUUAUUGUAUUUCUAUGCCACUCUCAGACACGAUAUGCUUCGUGGGCAAAUAUCACAAAUUGUAGAAAGACUUGUUUUACUUUAUAUAAAUUAUCGUUUCUAUCUAACAUAUUGUAUAUGCAUAAUUUGCAUUUAAUGUGGUUACAUACCUUUAUACUUAUUUUGUUUUCUGUUUUAAACGCUUUCACGUGUAUAUUAUAUAUCGGUAGCCGUAUUAAAUGAAGUAUUUAGCUUUCGUAAAAUGUAAGUGUUGUUGUGUAUUAUCCCAGUUGUUGAUCAAAUUCCUUAUGUGGAAAAUAACAAACCAGUGUUUGCGUUUGGUCAGAAAAAGAAAAUGUUGGAGUGUUAAUUGUUAUCAAAAAAUAAAAUGUCGUUCUGAUUGUACUUAAUCAAUUUUCUAGCGCCUCAAAAAGUGUUAAUGCUGUGUGUUGUUCUUGUGUAUCUUAACCAUUGAGUAAUUAUAUUGUAAUUAAAUCCUGUUAUUGUUA
Dreissena polymorpha is the source of this 3420-nucleotide long non-coding RNA. RefSeq lists it as uncharacterized. The record is from RefSeq and is a predicted model, not a curated record. The transcript has 4 exons. NCBI's taxonomy places the organism in Eukaryota, Metazoa, Mollusca, Bivalvia, Myida, Dreissenidae.